AGUGAACGCUGGCGGCAGGCCUAACACAUGCAAGUCGAACGGCAACACCCAAAGUGUUUGGUCUUCGCGGUAGCGGGUGGGGGGCGGGAGAGGUGUAUGUCGGACUCUACUUUUUCGGGGGGGAUAACGUAGGUAAGCUUACUAUAAUCCCGCAUCCUCCCUACGGUUGAAAGCAGGAGAUUUUCGGCCCUUGCGCGUGUGAAUGCGCCGAUGUGGGAUUAGCUAGUUGGCGGGGUAAAGGCCCACAAAGGCGACGAUCCGUAGCGGGUCUGAGAGGAUGAUCAGCCACACUGGAACUGAGACACGGUCCAGACUCCUACGGGAGGCAGCAGUGGGGAAGAUUGGACAAUGGGCGCAAGCCUGAUCCAGCCAUGCCGCGUGGAUGAAGAAGGCCUUCGGGUUGUAAAGCCCUUUUGUUGGGGAAGAAAAGCAGCAGGUUAAUACCCCGCUGUUCUGACGGUACCCAAAGAAGAAGCACCGGCUAACUUCGUG
This 492-nucleotide ribosomal RNA is filed under the name uncultured bacterium. RNAcentral's name for it is "partial 16S ribosomal RNA". It matches the Rfam family "Bacterial small subunit ribosomal RNA", at positions 29 to 507 of the family's 1533-position model. The record is from RNAcentral.